CAUCGUUUGUUUAAAACUUUCAAGCACAAGGAAAUGCCACCAACCUGUGCACACAAUCAUAUUCAUCUUUGGUUUCUUCGCUACCCCGGGAUUUUGUGUGCUGAAAACUUUCAUUAAUCCAAACUUUGUCCCCAAAAUAAUUUCUCCUCUGUUCUGAAAAUAAGUGAUGAUCAUCCAGGCAACAACAACUUCAAAUUUUGGUUCAUUCCCAAUAUGCCCAACAACCAGGCACCAAUCUCAAUCCCGCAAAAUCAUCCCAUUGAAUCUUGUUUCGUCUCAAAAAGGCCAAGAGUUUACCUCAGUAACUCACAAAGGUGACAAAAUGUGCGAGUGUUUUGAUUUGCAUAAAGAGCUAGUCCCAUAUGGAGAUGCUUGGAAUUGGCAGAAAGUGAUUGUUAGAGAGAAAAGCGGGUUGAUUGAAAGGAAUGAAGAAUGCCCAGAUACACUGAUUGUUUUGCAGCAUCAACCUGUGUAUACAAUGGGUACUGGUAGUUCUAUAGAAUACCUGAAUUUUGACAUAAAUAAUGCUCCUUUUGAGGUUUAUCGUACUGAACGAGGUGGAGAAGUUACCUAUCACGGGCCUGGCCAGCUAACUAUGUACCCAAUUAUCAAUCUUCGAAAUCACAAGAUGGAUCUUCAUUGGUACCUCAGGGAACUUGAGGAGGUGGUCAUUCGUGUUCUUUCCUCAACAUUUUCUAUCAAGGCUUCCAGGAUUGAGGGUUUAACUGGAGUUUGGGUUGGAGAUCAGAAACUGGCUGCAAUUGGUAUAAAAGUAUCUCAAUGGAUAGCAUAUCAUGGUUUAGCACUGAAUGUCACUACAGAUUUGGCACCUUUUAAUUUGAUAGUUCCAUGUGGGAUCAGGAACCGGAAGGUUGGAAGCAUAAAGGGGUUACUGGAAGAAUCCUGCUCAAAUGCAAAGGCACAUCAUUUUGAUUAUUCACAACUGAUUGAUAUUACUAGCCAAUCCUUGAUCAGGGAGUUUUCAGAAGUUUUUCAGCUUAAGAUCCAACAAAGAAGUGUACCUAUUUUGGAGUUUUUGGUGAAGAAAACAGAAAGCUUAUAACAGGAAAGGGAAUUAACUUGAAUCCGGUCUGUGAUAUUGAAGCAAAGAAAAAGACCCCCGGGUCCUUUUCCAGAGCAAUAUUCAUGUGGAGCUUCAGCAAGAUAUUUCUGGUUGGGGCUGCUCCAUCGUGGAUAAGGCAUGAGUAUCUUUGCAGAGCUUGUGCAUUUCUUCAAAUUAUAACGCAUUCUUUAAUGGUGGAAUUAGCCAAUAGAAGCUCAAAAGGAAUUUGAAAACCAAAAACCCAAAGAAAUAUAUUUUCAAUUUUUCCCAUUUCUCAUGUAAUGGCUAGUUCUCUGAGUUUGUUUUUAACAACCGAGUAUUAAAGCUGUAACCAAACAUUCUCCUGAUCCCCUCAAGCUCGUUUCUUGUGCUAUUGAGUGUUAGCAGUAGAAGUUUCCAAGUGACAAAUAAUAAAGAUUUAGCAGUGGUUUCAAGAAUUUAUUAGCGAGAAGUUGCUAGUGUUCAAGGAGAUAACCAGGUGAAGCCAGAAGUUGAGCAAUUAUGCAAAUAAGGGAAAGUGGAGGUAGCUUUUGAAAUCAUGGAUGAAAAGGAGAAGAAUGGAGGUUAUGCAGACUUGCUUGAUAUUGUAAGUUGAUACAAGCUUGUGCUGAUUUAAAAUUGCUGGAACCAGGGAAAAGGGUAGAUGAGUAUGUUAUGAGGUCUUCGUCAAAGCUUUAGACCAGUGUUGUCCUGAAUAAUCUGGCGGACAUAUACUGUAAACUGGGCGAUGCAAAUGGGGCAAGAGAGAUAUUUGAGCAAAUGGGAGCACGAAAUUUGGAUUCUUGGAACAAGAUGCUGUUGGGCUUGACAGAGAAUUACAAAGGAGAAAGGCUCUUGAAAUCUUUUCCCAGAUGAAAGAUGGGAUUAGGCCAUAUGGGUCUAGCUUUGUUGUUGUUUUAAUGGCUUGCAUGUGCUUAGGGGCAGAGAAGGAAGUACAUAAGCAUUUUGAGUCAAUGAGCAGGGGUUACGGGAUCACUCUCGUAGAAGAGCAUUAUGAAGCUACGGUUGAUCUUCUUGGAAGAUCAGGAAAGAUAGUGGAGUGCAAUGGAGUUGGCUGCAAAUAUACCAAUUGACUCAAACACCAGAGUUUGGGAGACUCUACAGAAGCACUCGAAAGCCAUAACACAAGGGCAGCUGGGUUAUUCUGUGUCACCAUAAGGGCAAAGGACAGCUUUAACAUAAAUUAUAAAAAAGAGCGACUUCAGACGGGAUCAAGGCAUAUGAAAAGUUGUGGAAGGUAAGGGAUGCUGGAUAUUUGCCGGACAAGAGGUCUGUGUUUCAUCAUUUCAUGAUCUUGACCAAGAGGCGAAGGAGAAGUCCUUGUUCUACCACAUUGAAAGGAUAGCCAUUGUUUAUGGGCUUAUCAAUACUCCUCCUGGGACCUCCUUAAGGAUAAUGAAAAACCUAAGGAUUUGUGGGGACUGCCAUAAUUUCAUCGAGAUCCUUUCCAAAAUGGAAGACCGAUAGAUUAUUGUGAGAGACAAUAAGAGGUUUCAUCAUUUCAAGGCUGGAAACUGCUCCUAAAUCUUCAAACUUUUCCCAGAGCCAAAAUAUUUAUUCUCUAUGAUUUAGGGAUAAAGAAGCAUAAUUUUGCUUCAAA
RNA transcript from Populus euphratica (Euphrates poplar), 2663 nucleotides. It is a transcript of the gene named plastidial lipoyltransferase 2-like, with no coding region annotated. Lineage: Eukaryota; Viridiplantae; Streptophyta; Magnoliopsida; Malpighiales; Salicaceae. The transcript is spliced from 5 exons. The record is from RefSeq and is a predicted model, not a curated record.